Molecule: ribosomal RNA, 253 nt
Filed under: uncultured bacterium
Lineage: Bacteria
Description: partial 16S ribosomal RNA
Rfam family: Bacterial small subunit ribosomal RNA
Source: RNAcentral
UACGUAGGGGGCUAGCGUUGUCCGGAAUCAUUGGGCGUAAAGAGCGUGUAGGCGGUCCGGUAAGUCCGUUGUGAAAGUCAGGGGCUCAACCCUUGAAUGCCGGCGGAUACUGUCGGGCUAGAGUCCGGAAGAGGCAAGUGGAAUUCCCGGUGUAGCGGUGAAAUGCGCAGAUAUCAGGAGGAACACCAAUGGCGAAGGCAGCUCGCUGGGACGGUACUGACGCUGAGGCGCGAAAGCGUGGGGAGCAAACAGG